RNAcentral lists this non-coding RNA (178 nucleotides) under Bacillota bacterium. RNAcentral describes it as "Firmicutes bacterium 6S RNA". It matches the Rfam family "6S / SsrS RNA". Rfam says of the family: E. coli 6S RNA was the first non coding RNA to be sequenced, but its function was unknown until recently. It consists of 184 nucleotides that fold into an extended hairpin structure with a large single-stranded internal bulge. The record is from RNAcentral. RNAcentral also lists the same sequence under 1 other name. Lineage: Bacteria; Bacillati; Bacillota.
UGACACCUGCGGUGUUCGGAAACCGGUAAAUGCGUAAUCCACAUUAUGAAAUCGGGAGCGCUUGUCGGCGCGGCUAUGCAAGGUCUGUUGAUACGGAAAGUCUGAUGCCGUACCGCCGCGCACCCACCUGCGAGAAGCGGGUUCACCUUCAUCGGUUUGCGGCACAGGCGGAUGUCUU